Molecule: ribosomal RNA, 465 nt
Filed under: uncultured bacterium
Lineage: Bacteria
Description: partial 16S ribosomal RNA
Rfam family: Bacterial small subunit ribosomal RNA
Source: RNAcentral
CCUACGGGUGGCAGCAGUGGGGAAUAUUGCGCAAUGGGCGAAAGCCUGACGCAGCGACGCCGCGUGAGGGAUGACGGUCUUCGGAUCGUAAACCUCUGUCAGCAGGGAAGAACGGUCACUGUGCUAAUCAGCAGUGAAUUGACGGUACCUGCAAAGGAAGCACCGGCUAACUCCGUGCCAGCAGCCGCGGUAAUACGGAGGGUGCGAGCGCUAAUCGGAAUUACUGGGCGUAAAGCGCUCGUAGGCGGUAUGUCAAGUCAAGGGUGAAAUCCCCGCGCUCAACGUGGGAACUGCCUUUGAAACUGGCAAACUGGAGUGUGUGAGAGGAAAGUGGAAUUCGAGGUGUAGGAGUGAAAUGCGUAGAUAUCUGGAGGAACAUCAGUGGCGAAGGCGACUAUCUGGCACAUAACUGACGCUGAGGAGCGAAAGCGUGGGUAGCAAACAGGAUUAGAUACCCUAGUAGUC